GGUCAAGCUACAAAGGGCGCAUGGUGAAUGCCUUGGCAUCAGGAGCCGAUGAAGGACGUGAUAAGCUGCGAUAAGCUUCGGGUAGGCGCACAUAGCCAGAGAUCCGGAGAUUUCCGAAUGGGGAAACCCGCAUGAGAAACCUCAUGCAUCGUAAAGUGAAUACAUAGCUUUAUGAAGGAACACCUAGGGAACUGAAACAUCUAAGUACCUAGAGGAAGAGAAAGAAAAAUCGAUUUUCUUAGUAGCGGCGAGCGAAAAGGAAAGAGCCCAAACCAGAGAUUUAUCUCUGGGGUUGCGGACAGAACAUAACGUGAAAUUAUGAUUAACCGAACACAACUGGAAAGUUGGACCGUAGGAGGUAAUAGUCCUGUAAGUAAAAGUCAUAAUGAUCAGUUCUGCACCAGAGUACCACGAGACACGUGAAACCUUGUGGGAAGCAGGGAGGACCACCUCCCAAGGCUAAAUACUACCUGAUGACCGAUAGUGAAGCAGUACCGUGAGGGAAAGG
This 508-nucleotide ribosomal RNA is filed under the name Clostridium butyricum. RNAcentral describes it as "partial 23S ribosomal RNA". It matches the Rfam family "Bacterial large subunit ribosomal RNA", at positions 1 to 514 of the family's 2925-position model. The record is from RNAcentral. Lineage: Bacteria; Bacillati; Bacillota; Clostridia; Eubacteriales; Clostridiaceae.